GGAGCGAUGGCCGAGUGGUUUAAGGCAGAAGUCUUGAAAACUUCCGUACCGGGAACGGUACCGUGGGUUCGAAUCCCACUCGCUCCGCCA
This 90-nucleotide transfer RNA is filed under the name Mesorhizobium kowhaii. RNAcentral describes it as "tRNA-Ser". It matches the Rfam family "tRNA". Rfam says of the family: Transfer RNA (tRNA) molecules are approximately 80 nucleotides in length. Their secondary structure includes four short double-helical elements and three loops (D, anti-codon, and T loops). RNAcentral also lists the same sequence under 8 other names. The record is from RNAcentral. Lineage: Bacteria; Pseudomonadati; Pseudomonadota; Alphaproteobacteria; Hyphomicrobiales; Phyllobacteriaceae.